RNAcentral lists this long non-coding RNA (1677 nucleotides) under Chrysemys picta bellii (western painted turtle). Its description in RNAcentral is "lncRNA (ENSCPBG00000015346.1)". The record is from RNAcentral. Lineage: Eukaryota; Metazoa; Chordata; Testudines; Emydidae.
AGGCAGAGAGAAGGAUAGUCAGAUUGCGUAGCAGGGUUAGGUGGGUUUCCGUGCUAAGUACAGCAAUUGCGCACGGUCCCUUACGUAACUGUCAGCUGGGGAUUCCCUAGAGGGGGUCACUGUAUUCAACCAUUACACAGACCCCUGCCGCCGUUCCAACACGCCUGGGCUGCCGUUGCCGCCGCUACUGAGGCUGCGGCUGCAGCUACAACGGCGGCUCCUCACAAAAUGGCGGCGCCCAUGGACGCGGCAGCAGCCCCAUUUUGUGCCCACAGAGCUGUCAACAAAACACGGACUCGGCCGGGGCAGAGACGCAGAAGUCGGCGGCGAAGCGACGUUAUGGGGAGCGAGGGACUUCACCAGCUUCUCGUCCCCGAGAAGAGACUUUCUCUAAAGCGUGCGCGCACUGGGCGGGGGAGGCGAGCAGCGGACGAAGCGGCGAAUUGAGCGCUGGGACCAGCAGGGAGCGAGAGCUCUGCGGGGACCUUCCGGAGCUGUGGCUCCGUGGUCGGGGCGAUGGUCCUGCCCUGUGCGAUCCGGGAUGCUCGGCAGCAAGGCGCUGCCCCGGUCUCGCCGGCGGGGACAGGGAGGUUCCCCGUGGGGGAUAGGUCUUGGACAGUGGGGAUGGGAGCGGAUUUGCUGUCUCCUCCUGGAGAUCUUGUUCCGGGCUCGCUCCUUGCUCUUAAACCUCUCCCUUCUUGAGCUCGUGGUUGGCAGCCCAGUUUAUGUAACUUUAUUGCUGUAGGAAUCUUGCAAACCUGCAAGGAGCUGCAGGAAGAUCUGGAUUCUUAGUUUAGUUAAUUAGGUCAAUUUCAGCAUUUAAUUACUGUUUGCUUCUUUUUAGUGCGUGCCUUUGGAAUCGGCCUAUUAGGUUGAUGCUUCAGUUUACAUUAGCUAACAGCAAGCUCCCUACCUUACCUCAAAGGCUGCUUGGAGGGGAGUGGGGAAGAGAAGAGCAAAGGGCCCAGAGCUGCAGCUGGGAGUUCCUGGGCUUUCACUCCUCAGUCCUAGUAUCAAUCCAUGAGGAAAAUCUGUACUUUGGAGAUUUUAAAAAUAAUAGAAGAAUCGGUGAGAGAGGUGGCAGUGACCAGAUUAAGAUAUAUGCCAAACUACCCCCUUCACCACAGCAUGGGCCGGAAAGGAGGACUUACUCAACAAAAGUACAGAUCACUGUAUAUCUCUUUCCCUCCUGACCCACACCCAUUGAGAGAUCUCAUGAACUGAAAUGGCUGCUAACUGGACUCUCAGGGAACUUUAGGCCUGGUCUACACUAGGAGGUUAUGUCGGAUUGCCAGCAGCAGGAACUGGCCAACGCUAGGAGCAUUGCUUGGAACGUGAAAGGAGGGCACUGCUAUAAAUUAAGCUUUAAGCAGCCAAAAGUCUACGGCUUACCAUGUCCGCCUGCUAGCCGAAUUCUGUUGUCCGGCCCCGCUUGUGUGAUCUGUACAGCAAGACCCCAGGCACUCAAUGGGAAGGCCGAAAAUUCGACCUUGUAUUGAGUGCGCAUGUGAUAGGUGCUGUGCAUGGUCUUGUUCACAGAGAAAGACUAUAUUAAUUGUUCGCAAAACUGUAUCUUUCUGAGGAAUUCACUCCCUUUUUCCCAUCCCACAGCUGCGAGUGUCUCCUGAGCUACCCCGACAUCCCCCUCCCAGAGGCUGGCACAGAUCAGGUGAUGAA